This is a long non-coding RNA of Arachis duranensis, 1880 nucleotides long. RefSeq lists it as uncharacterized. The transcript has 4 exons. The record is from RefSeq and is a predicted model, not a curated record. NCBI's taxonomy places the organism in Eukaryota, Viridiplantae, Streptophyta, Magnoliopsida, Fabales, Fabaceae.
GCUUUUGAAGCGUGGCUGAUUUGUCUUCCUAUAGGCACUCUAAAAAAGCGUAGCGACAUAAUUUUCACCAAUUUUUUAUUCACACUUCAAUUUUUUCCCAAUUAAACACUUCAACCCUAAAGAAGUGACAAUCUUUUCACUGCUCAAGCCUCGGACACUAGCUGCCAGCCCCUUCAUCUUCAUCACUACCAUGUCCCAAUUCAUCACUGCUAAUGAGAACCCAUGCACGCCCUUCAUCUUCAUCACCGCCGAGAACCAUCACACCCAGCCCUCUCUCGUAGCCCUCUAUCGCACCCUCUCUCGCACCCAAACGGCAAGCCUCCUCCUCGGAUUCCCAACCCUCGCACCCUCUCUUGCAAACUUCUAUCGGCGCUUCUCCGUCGGCGCAGCCUGCCUCGGCGUGCACCCUCAGUGAUCUCUCUCUCUCUCGCAAACCCUAAACACUAAAGACGCUGCCUCUCUCUCGCUCCUCCCUCAAUCAUCGCUUCCUCUCCCCCAAUCGGCGCUUCCUCUCCCUCAAUCGACGCUCAACCCUCACCAUCUCCAUCGUUCAUCGUUCAUCGUUCAUCACCCAUGCCUUCGAACCCUAAAUCUAAAAUCACCCUCCCCUCACUGGAACCCUAACUCCCUAAGUCUCUUCUCUCGCUCUCUUCUGUCCCUCGCACACGCCAGAACCGCCGUCGCACAGAAUCCCCUUCGCACACGCCAUCGCAGACUCGCACGUCUCGCGGUCUCGGUCCAAGGCGUGUUCUCCUCGUCGUGUCGUCUCCAUCCCGUGAAUGUCUGCGUCCUACUCUCCCGUCCUGUGAGCGUCGCUGUCCUCCGCGUCCCGUGAACGUUGCUGUCCUCCCCGUCCUGAACGCCGCCGUCGUUCUUCCUGAUUCCUGUCGCUCAUCCCUCGCGCCGUUGGCUUCGGUGGCGCCAUUUUGCUGUGCGUAGCUUUGGCCAACUUCAUCUCCGACCGCCGUUGGACGAAGAAGAAACCGAUUAUGAAGAAAAGCAGAGGAGUGGUUGCUCUUCAAAUUAUCCAAGAGAAAUACUAAAUGGGGGUUUCUUGAGGGUGUGAGUAUGUCUGAUGCACCGCCACCUAGAACGGUCUUGGUGCAGCAGUGUAUCCGUGAUAGAGGUGUAUUGGAAGUUCUAUGCAACUAUGAUGCUAUCAGUCUACUAAAAUUAAGGAGUGAAAGAACUAGAAAUGGUGGCAACGUAUGAAGAAGCGAGAGAUUAUAUGGCACAAGUGCAAGAAGCAUUUCAAGAUAAGAAAGAAGACUAUCAUUGCUUUAUGCAACUUCUCCAACUUCUCGAAGAUCAUUUCUUCUUGUGUGUUUUGUGUUUUGUGUGUGUGUGCAACUGUUCUUUUCCUUUUACUAAAUUACUAAUCAUGCAGUAAUGUUUGUUGCCACUUUGCUUUCUUAAUUAGUUAAUUGUUUCCUUGCCUCUUUUAUUAGAUAAUGGUUACUGUCAGUUGGCAGUUUAUAAACUAGCUUCUCUACCGUAGGUAGAUGGUGGAUGAAAAUCUGAGUGUGUACUCAAGACAUAUUCUGAACUUUCACCAUGUGAAUGACAGUUCAAAACUCAUUUAAAAAUUCAAACCAGAUUUAUUUGUUACUUACCCUUCUGUCUGUUUGCUUGUCCUUCUUUCUUUGCAAAGGUUUGGUCUGAAUUUAGUUCUUCAUGUGUCUGAUAAUCCUGUAUUUGAUUCUUCCAUACAGAUAUUUUCUGAGAAAAGAGGACAAUGGAAGGCUGCAACUCAAUCACGGGAGUAUAUUCGAUCCUUUCAGCGUUAUUAUAGCAACACGUACUUGGAUGGCAAUAAACAAAAAGCAAUUAACUUGUAAGAAACAGGGUCAUUUGUUGUCAUUAACCCAUUUGGAAAUUCU